RNAcentral lists this transfer RNA (73 nucleotides) under Verrucomicrobiota bacterium. Its description in RNAcentral is "Verrucomicrobia bacterium tRNA-Thr". It matches the Rfam family "tRNA". From Rfam's summary of the family: Transfer RNA (tRNA) molecules are approximately 80 nucleotides in length. Their secondary structure includes four short double-helical elements and three loops (D, anti-codon, and T loops). Lineage: Bacteria; Pseudomonadati; Verrucomicrobiota. RNAcentral also lists the same sequence under 2 other names. The record is from RNAcentral.
GCCGACGUAGCUCAGCUGGUAGAGCAACGGUUUCGUAAACCGUAGGUCACCGGUUCAAUCCCGGUCGUCGGCU